UGGGGAAUAUUGGACAAUGGGCGAAAGCCUGAUCCAGCCAUGCCGCGUGUGUGAAGAAGGUCUUCGGAUUGUAAAGCACUUUAAGUUGGGAGGAAGGGCAUUAACCUAAUACGUUAGUGUUUUGACGUUACCGACAGAAUAAGCACCGGCUAACUCUGUGCCAGCAGCCGCGGUAAUACAGAGGGUGCAAGCGUUAAUCGGAAUUACUGGGCGUAAAGCGCGCGUAGGUGGUUUGUUAAGUUGGAUGUGAAAUCCCCGGGCUCAACCUGGGAACUGCAUUCAAAACUGACUGACUAGAGUAUGGUAGAGGGUGGUGGAAUUUCCUGUGUAGCGGUGAAAUGCGUAGAUAU
Molecule: ribosomal RNA, 350 nt
Filed under: uncultured bacterium
Lineage: Bacteria
Description: partial 16S ribosomal RNA
Rfam family: Bacterial small subunit ribosomal RNA
Source: RNAcentral